Molecule: ribosomal RNA, 737 nt
Filed under: Lisarda crudelis
Lineage: Eukaryota; Metazoa; Arthropoda; Insecta; Hemiptera; Reduviidae
Description: SSU rRNA
Rfam family: Eukaryotic small subunit ribosomal RNA
Source: RNAcentral
GAGGCCCCGUAAUCGGAAUGAGUACACUUUAAAUCCUUUAACAAGGAUCCAUUGGAGGGCAAGUCUGGUGCCAGCAGCCGCGGUAAUUCCAGCUCCAAUAGCGUAUAUUAAAGUUGUUGCGGUUAAAAAGCUCGUAGUUGGUUCUGCGUGCCGCGCUGUCGGUUCGCCGCCUGUCGGUGUAACUGGCAUGUCGCGGCAUGUCCUGUCGGUGGUGAACGGGGUUCCCGGUGCUUCAUUGGCUUUUUAUUCUGUGUUUGUGCUGUGUGAAGUUCGUUUGCCCAUCUUUCCUACUCCGGUGCUCUUAAACGAGUGUCGAGGUAGGCCGACACGUUCACUUUGAACAAAUUAAGUGCUUAAAGCAGGCUGAAAUAUCGCCUGAAUAGUGGUGCAUGGAAUGAUAAAAUAGGACCUCGGUUCUAUUUUGUUGGUUUUAGGAAUGUGAGGUAAUGAUCAAUGUGGACUGGCGGGGGCAUUCGUAUUGCGACGUUAGAGGUGAAAUUCUUGGAUCGUCGCAAGACGCACUAAAGCGAAAGCAUUUGCCAAGUAUGUCUUAAUUGAUCAAGAACGAAAGUUAGAGGUUCGAAGGCGAUCAGAUACCGCCCUAGUUCUAACCAUAAACGAUGCCAGCCAGCGAUCCGCCGAUGUUCCAUUAAUGACUCGGCGGGGAGCUUCUUCCCGGGAAACCAAAGCUUUUGGGUUCCGGGGGAAGUAUGGUUGCAAAGCUGUAACUUAAAGGA